Long non-coding RNA from Brassica napus (rape), 1546 nucleotides. RefSeq lists it as uncharacterized. The transcript has 2 exons. The record is from RefSeq and is a predicted model, not a curated record. NCBI's taxonomy places the organism in Eukaryota, Viridiplantae, Streptophyta, Magnoliopsida, Brassicales, Brassicaceae.
UUACCAGGUUCAUGGCAAAUAACUUUGAGGAUCAUUAUUGGGGUUUUUAGAGUAGAGUUCUUAGCUGAAUAUAAGAACCCGUCUCUUAACUUUUAACUAAAAAGGUUAAGAAAUGACUCUUAAAACUCUUAUUUAAGAAUCGGUUCUUAGCUUUUUUAGUUAAAAGCUAAGAGACGGGUUCUUAUAUUCCGCUAAGAAUCCCAUCUUAAGAACCCCCAAUAGUCAUGCUCUAAUUAGGCUCCAAACGAUAAGGAAUAUUUUUUCCCAGAUAUUCCUUCUCAUUCUUUUUUAUUUAAGGAAUUAUAAAGCAAAACUAUUUUUUAUCAAAUCCGACAAGAAACAAUAUAAGGAAUAAGUAUUUCUAUUAUUUUGUUUAUUUUUUUUAUUUCUUCUUUGUUCUCAUUAUUUUUUUUUGGGGUCACUAAUUAGAGUCUUAGUGACGUGAUCUUUCAUUUUUUUGUAAGGAAUAAGUAUUUCUAUUAUUUUGUUCUUUCUCUUUUUUUUUUAAUUCCUUAUCAUAUCGGUAAGGAGCAAUAAAGAACAUGUAUUCCAAUUAUUUUGUUCCUCUUCAUUUAUUUCAUCUUUGUUCCUAUUAUUACUUUUGGGAUUUUUAACAUUAAAACCGCUCAGGUAAGUUUUAUUUGGGUAAAAACCCUUCGAUUAUGUAUUUAAUGUAAAAACCCCUCAAGUUAAGUAUGUUAGUGUAUAAGCCCAUCCGUCUACAGUAACAUUUAAUUAAUUUUUUAAGAAAAACAACAAGCAUGCUGAAAAACGACACUACAAUGGCACAAUGUGUCUUUUCAUGUUCUUCAAUCAUCAUUUCGAGAAAAUAAAAAUCCCCAAUUCAUCUAACCCUAAUUUUGGAGAUGAAGAACACUACCUUCGCGAGGGAGAGGACUGAAGAUUACUAGUCCGCCAUUAGAGUCCUUGACAAGGUCUGAUAUGAUCUGUUGAUGAAGCUUCAGCGCUAUUGAAGAAGAAAAAUGGCGUAAAUUGGAGAUAACGAGUCUUGACAAUGAUAGAAAUAUUUCUACAGACCUCAAAACUUUGUGGUUUCUGAGAUACAGGCUGGGGUUUGUGAGAUUUUGAGUGUCGGACAGAUUGGUGAAGAAAGAGACGAGUCAGAAACACGAGAUAGAUUUACUGUGAAAGGAGCUGGUAACAUGACAAGGACACUUUAUGUCCGGUUGAUGUUGGAGGGUAUUGGGCAGCUGAUGGAUCAUAUAAUGGUGGUGAGACAAGAUGCUGCAGAGUUGAUUUUGAAAACCAAUGUUUUAAGAUGCUCUUAGUAUGCUGAGCAAUUUACAAGGAUGUAUGCACAUUAUAAGACAAUGGAUGGACUAGGCUAGACAAUAGAUGCACUCGGCUAUAUCUUAUUUUGUUGCUAACUCUGUUUCUUAUUUGAUUUUUCAUUUUAACUCGGUUAAGGUUUUACUAGAGCCAUAUUAUUUAGAAAAUUUUCAGGUCUUCGUAAAACCAUCACUAUUGUGGAAUUUCAUGUAAACUGGUUUCAAGUCUUAGUAAAACAAUCUUUAUUUUGAUGUUA